Mytilus californianus (California mussel) is the source of this 6019-nucleotide long non-coding RNA. RefSeq lists it as uncharacterized. The record is from RefSeq and is a predicted model, not a curated record. The transcript has 4 exons. Lineage: Eukaryota; Metazoa; Mollusca; Bivalvia; Mytilida; Mytilidae.
CCUGUGUGAUAUAGAGGUUUGAGUUUCUCUAAAUUUGAGUUAAUAGAAAUUGGUAAUAAGAUUUGUUAUAUUAGACCUUUAUUUUUUAAAGUAUGUUUUAUAAGGGUGAAGAUCUAUUUCUUUUAUUUUUUAAUACACAUGCUCCCAGAAAUGAAGUCUGCAGAUGACUUAUUGCAGUUUAACUACAUGCUGAAUUUUAGUUUAUGAAUCAUGGGAAAAAUUUACUUUCAACUUUAUCUUUAAAAACCCUAAUUAUUCAGUAGAUUCUUUUUAAGAAACCACCAAAAUUUAGGUAAAAUUAUGCUGAAAUAUCAAAAUAUUAAAAUUUCCCGAAAAAAACUCUAGCCUAUAUAUUACACAUCUUUUGUUGGCGCGGCAGUAUAUUUAAGAAAAAUGAAAAAAGUAAAAAAAAAAAUGUAGAGAACUGAAGAAAAAAAUAUGAUACUGCUGAAAACCUGUGUGAUAUAGAGGUUUGAGUUUCUCUAAAUUUGAGUUCAAAGAAAUUGGUUAUAAGAUUUGUUAUAUUAGACCUUUAUUUUUUAAAGUAUGUUUUAUAAAGGUGAAGAUCUAUUUCUUUUAUCUUUUAAUACACAUGCUCCCAGAAAUGAAGUCUGCAGAUGACUUAUUGUAGUUUAACUACAUGCUGAAUUUUAGUUUAUGAAUAAUGGGAAAAAUUGAUUUUCAACUUUAUCUUUAAAAACCCUAAUUAUUCAGUAGAUUCUUUUUAAGAAACCACCAAAAUUUAGGUAAAAUUAUGCUGAAAUAUCAAAAUAUUAGAAUUUCCCGAAAAAAACUCUAGCCUAUAUAUUACACAUCUUUUGUUGGCGCGGCAGUAUAUUUAAGAAAAAGGAAAAAAGUAAAAAAAAAAAUGUAGAGAACUGAAGAAAAAAAUAUGAUACUGCUGAAAACCUGUGUGAUAUAGAGGUUUGAGUUUCUCUAAAUUUGAGUUAAUAGAAAUUGGUUAUAAGAUUUGUUAUAUUAGACCUUUAUUUUUUAAAGUAUGUUUUAUAAGGGUGAAGAUCUAUUUCUUUUAUUUUUUAAUACACAUGCUCCCAGAAAUGAAGUCUGCAGAUGACUUAUUGCAGUUUAACUACAUGCUGAAUUUUAGUUUAUGAAUCAUGGGAAAAAUUUACUUUCAACUUUAUCUUUAAAAACCCUAAUUAUUCAGUAGAUUCUUUUUAAGAAACCACCAAAAUUUAGGUAAAAUUAUGCUGAAAUAUCAAAAUAUUAGAAUUUCCAGAAAAAAACUCUAGCCUAUAUAUUACACAUCUUUUGUUGGCGCGGCAGUAUAUUUAAGAAAAAUGAAAAAAGUAAAAAAAAAAUGGUAGAGAACUGAAGAAAAAAAUAUGAUACUGCUGAAAACCUGUGUGAUAUAGAGGUUUGAGUUUCUCUAAAUUUGAGUUUAAAGAAAUUGGUUAUAAGAUUUGUUAUAUUAGACCUUUAUUUUUUAAAGUAUGUUUUAUAAGGGUGAAGAUCUAUUUCCUUUAUUUUUUAAUACACAUGCUCCCAGAAAUGAAGUCUGCAGAUGACUUAUUGCAGUUUUAAACUACAUGCUGAAUUUUAGUUUAUGAAUCAUUGGAAAAAUUAACUUUCAACUUUAUCUUUUAAAACCCUAAUUAUUCAGUAGAUUCUUUUUAACAGCCAUUGAAAUUAAGGUAAAAAUUUUGAUAAAAUAUGAAAUUUAUGAAUAAAUAGCUUUAUAUUACACAUCUUUUGUUGGCACGGCAGUAUAUUUAAGAAAAAUGAAAAAAGUUUAAAAAAAAAAAUGUGGAGAACUGAAGAAAAAAAUAUGAUACUGCUGAAAACCUGUGUGAUAUAGAAGUUUGAGUUUCUCUAAAUUUGAGUUCAAAGAAAUUGGUUAUGAGAUUUGUUAUAUUAGACCUUUAUUUUUUAAAGUAUGUUUUAUAAGGGUGAAGAUCUAUUUCCUUUAUUUUUUUAAUACCCAUGCUCCCAGAAAUGAAAUCUGCAGAUGACUUAUUGCAGUUUAACUACGUAUACAUGCUGAAUUUUAGUUUAUGAAUCAUGGGAAAAAUUGACUUUCAACUUUUAUCUUUUAAAACCCUAAUUAUUCAGUAGAUUCUUUUUAAAUAGCCAUUGCAAUUAAGGUAAACAUUUUGAUAAAAUAUGAAAUUUUAGAAUUUCCCAUGAAUAAAUAGCCUUUAUAUUUCAUAUCUUUUGUUGGCGCGGCAGUAUAUUUAAGAAAAAUGAAAAAAGUAAAAAAAAAUUAUGCUGAAAUAUCAAAAUAUUAGAAUUUCCCCAAAAAACUUGAGCCUUUAUAUUACACAUCUUUUGUUGGCGCGGCAGUAUAUUUAAGAAAAAUGAAAAAAGUAAUAAAAAAAAUUUGGAGAACUGAAGAAAAAAAUGAUACUGCUGAAAACCUGUGUGAUAUAGAGGUUUGAGUUUCUCUAAAUUUGAGUUCAAAGAAAUUGGUUAUAAGAUUUGUUAUAUUAGACCUUUAUUUUUUAAAGUAUGUUUUAUAAAGGUGAAGAUCUAUUUCUUUUAUCUUUUAAUACACAUGCUCCCAGAAAUGAAGUCUGCAGAUGACUUAUUGCAGUUUAACUACAUGCUGAAUUUUAGUUUAUGAAUAAUGGGAAAAAUUGAUUUUCAACUUUAUCUUUAAAAACCCUAAUUAUUCAGUAGAUUCUUUUUAAGAAACCACCAAAAUUUAGGUAAAAUUAUGCUGAAAUAUCAAAAUAUUAGAAUUUCCAGAAAAAAACUCUAGCCUAUAUAUUACACAUCUUUUGUUGGCGCGGCAGUAUAUUUAAGAAAAAUGAAAAAAGUAAAAAAAAAAAUGUGGAGAACUGAAGAAAAAAAUAUGAUACUGCUGAAAACCUGUGUGAUAUAGAGGUUUGAGUUUCUCUAAAUUUGAGUUCCAAGAAAUUGGUUAUAAGAUUUGUUAUAUUAGACCUUUAUUUUUUAAAGUAUGUUUUAUAAGGGUGAAGAUCUAUUUCCUUUAUUUUUUAAUACACAUGCUCCCAGAAAGGAAGUCUGCAGAUGACUCAUUGCAUUGUAUAUUUAAGAAAAAUUCGUAAGGGUUCCGCGGAACCCAGUGUCUCGCCUAUUUUUGCUGUUAAUUGCAGGCUCAACAAAAAUGAGGGAAAAAAAAUUAUAAUAUUCCUCUCGAUACUAUCUUUUGAUUGUAAGAAGCUUCUGUCCAAGUUUAGUAAAAAUCCAGGAUAGUUUAUGAAUCUAAUAAAUGUUUUAAAAACUUUUAACAGCAGACUGUAUGUAAUGUUAACUGGAAGAAAAACCAUUUAUAAAUAAAAUACGGAAAAACAGGGACAAAACUUCCUUCUAGAUACUAGCUAUUGAUCAUAUGCAAGCUUCUGUCCAAGUUUGGUACAAAUCCAGGAUAGUUUAAGAAAGUUAUUAAAAUUUUAAAAACUUUAUCCACAGAGUGAAUGUAAUGUUUCCUGGCAGAAAAACUAAGUCCAUUUAUAAGUAAAUUACGGAAAAAAUGGAAUUUUUUUUUUACACAAUUUACUUCUGGAUACUAUCUUAUGUUCAUAAACAAGCUUCUGUCCUAGUUUGGUAGAAAUCCAGGAUAGUUUAAGAAAGUUAUUAAAAUUUCAAAAACUUUAACCACAGAGUGAAUAUUUGUGGCCGACGCCGACGGAAUGUAGGAUCGCUAUGUCUCCCUUUUUCGACAAAAGUCGAAGGCUCGACAAAAAUGAAAAAAUAAAAGAUGGAGAAAAGAAUAUGAUACUGCUGAAAAUUUGUUGGAUUUGAGUUUUUAUAAAAUUUGAAUAUAAGGAUAUAAGUAUUAAGGAUCUUGUACAGUCAAACCUGUUUUAAGCAUGUCACUCAUGGGAAGUAUCAAAAAGGGACGGCUCGAGAAAAGUGACCUUUAAAAAGAGUUUCUGUGGCUGGGAAUGCAACUUGGUUUAGUGUUUUAGUUGGAAGAUUUAUCAUUCGUUUGUUCGUUCUUUCGUUCGUGUGAGCAGACAAAUAUUAAAGGGUGGACUCUUGCACUGUCAAUUUGACGAAGACAUUUAUUGAUUUAAAGGUGUUGAUAUAAUUGGAUAAACAAGUCUGUGAAAUGCUUUUCAAUGGUAUUAAUUGAAGGGAGUGGAAUACAAGGAUUCACAAAUUUACUUCAUAUUGCAAGAUCUAUGUUGCAAACCGUGAAACGGGUUCCGAUUCUCAUUUUGAUUUUUAUACUGAACACACAUAUUUUUCAUCAUGAUUAUAAUUGUAAUUAAAAACAGUAAAAUGAUGAUUUCGUGCAAAAAAUAAGGUGACCGCAUAGGACAGGUGACAACUGAAAUGAGUUAAAUAUAUAGAGAAAAUGCUUGAGAGGGUCACCAAGAGACCAUAGAGAUAGUUGACCUCUUAAACAAGGUGGUGACCUUAAGGCAGGUUUGACUGUAUAAUGAUUAUUUUUUUCACAUCUAGAAUUUUUGUAAUCAAUAAAUCAUGUAAAGAGUGACUUUCAAUCAACUUGAUCAUUAACAACCAUUGUUUAAGAAGUUUCUUUUUAAACAUAAGCAGCAACUGUUUUUUUAAAGGAAAUACCUACAUGCAUGAGAUGCAAAGAGUGGAAUGAUCAGCAAGGAGACAUGAAAUUCAUUUUCAGGUAUAAUUGGAUUGCUGCUACAUAAGAAAAGUUCACAAUCAGGAAAUUGAAGUCUCUUUUGUCAAAUUAUUAGCUCUCAGCUGGUCCUUGCUGAUAGUUUCUGGGCGACGGCAAGUUUUGAAGCACAGUAUGCCGUAUCUGUUGUAUCCUUCUUCUGGUUCAGUGGGUUAGGUGUAACCAUUUUUGAGUUAUCUAUAUUAAAAGAGAUCGCCUACAUUGUGGAAUGUGAAAUUAAGGGAUAAUGCUUGAUUCUUUUUAUCCUUGAUAAGUGCCUGUAUGAAGUCUGUCUUAAAAGGGGCAGGGUUCCCAUAGCAAUGUCAACAUUUUUAGCUCACCUGGCCAUUUGGGCCAAGUGAGCUUUUCUCAUCACUUGCGUCAGUCGUCUGUUGUCGUUGUCCGUCGUCGUCGUUAACUUUUUACAUUUUGAACUUCUACUAGAGAACUAGUGAAUGGAAUGAAACCAAACAUGGCAUGAUUGUUCCUUAUGAGGUGCUGACCAAGUGUUGUUACUUUGCAGUCAGUCCAUCAUCCAAGAUGGCCGCCAGCGGGGGACUUAGUUUAACAUAGGACCCUAUGGGAAAUACAUACAAAUGUCUUCUUUUAGAGAACCACUGAAUGGAAUGAAACCAAACAUGACAUGAAUGUUCCUUAUGAGGUGCUGACCAAGUGUUGUUACUUUGUAGCCGAUCCAUCAUCCAAGAUGGCCGCCAGCGGGGGACUUAGUUUAACAUAGGACCCUAUGGGAAAUACAUACAAAUGUCUUCUUUUAGAGAACCACUGAAUGGAAUGAAACCAAACAUGGCAUGAAUGUUCCUUAUGAGGUGCUGACCAAGUGUUGUUACUUUGCAGUCGGUCCAUCAUCCAAGAUGGCCGACAGCAGGGGACUUAGUUUAACAAAGGACCUAUGGGAAAUACAUACAAAUGUCUUCUUUUAGUGAACCACUGAAUGGAAUGAAACCAAACAUGGCAUGAAUGUUCCUUAUGAGGUGCUGACCAAGUGUUGUUACUUUGUAGCCGAUCCAUCAUCCAAGAUGGCCGCCAGCGGGGAACUUAGUUUUACAUAGGACCCUUUGGGAAAUACAUACAAAUGUCUUCUUUUAGAGAACCAAUAAAUGGAAUGGAACCAAACAUGGCAUGAAUGUUCCUUAUGAGAUGUUGACCAAGUGUUGUUACUUUGCAGCCGAUCCAUCAUCCAAGAUGGCCGACAGUGGGGGACUUAGUUUAACAUAGGACCCUAUGGGAAAUACAUACAAUUGUCUUCUUUUAGAGAACCACUGAAUGGAAUUGAACCAAACAUGGCAUGAAUGUUCCUUAUGAGUUGCUGACCAAGUGUUGUUACUUUGCAGUCGAUUCAAUAUCCAAGAUGGCCGCUAGGGGGGGGGGGCUUAGUUUAACAUAGGACCCUAUGGGAAAUACAUACAAAUGUCUUCUUUUAGAGUACCA